GUACGGCUGACUUAUCUAAUCUGCGGCCUGUUAUGCAUCAAACUAAUAUUGCUGUUGAGACAAAAUGCAAUGCCAUCAAGUUAGCAUUUUUAAACAUUCGCUCACUAAAAAAUAAAUCAUUUCUAAUCAAUGACUUAACCACAAACAACCUGGAUUUUAUGUUUCUAAAUGAAACAUGGCUAGAAGACAGCUGCAGUGCAACGGUCCUCAAUGAAACAGCCCCUCCUAACUUCACUUUCAUGAGUGUUUGCAGGACUGUUAGGAGAGGUGGAGGUGUAGCUGCUCUAUUUAAAGAUGUCUAUCAAUGCAAGCAAGUGUCAUUUGGUCAGUACUUGUCUUUUGAAUAUCUAGGGAUUGUGUUGAAAGGUGCUCCACGCAUUCUGUUUAUCAUUAUUUACAGGCCUCCAAAAUACUCUCCAGCCUUUGUUGAAGAGUUCACAGAAAUGCUAUCAAUGAUUUCCUCAGAGUUUGACUGUUUUGCUAUUGCAGGGGAUUUUAAUAUUCACAUAGAUAAUGCAGAAAACAAAACUACAAAAGAAAUUAUAACUGUUCUAAAUACUUUUGACCUGAUUCAGCAUGUGCAUGAACCCACACACAAUCGGGGACAUACUCUAGAUUUACUCAUCAGUAGAGGUCUAAACAUUUCAUCCAUUGUUAUUAAGGACGUAGCACUAUCUGAUCACUUCUGUAUUUUCUUUGAUAUAUUGAUCUCUGUUACCACUGAAUCUAGAUCGGUCUCAGUCAGAAAGAGAUGCAUUAACGAAAACACUAGUGUGCUAUUUAUGGAGGCUAUAUCUUUAACACCAAGCAUUUCUGCAGACUCUGUUGAACUUCUCCUUGAUUCCUUUAACUCAAAAGUUAAGAAUGUUAUUGAUGACAUUGCUCCUUUGAAAGUCAGCAGGAAGACUGGCAGACAGAAAUCAGCUUGGAGAAAAUCAACAGCAGUUCAGAGUAUGAAAAGACAAUGCAGAAAAGCUGAGCGGAUGUGGCGGAAGACGAAACUUGAAAUACACUAUAGCAUAUAUAAAGACAGCCUUCGUACUUUCAAUGUGGAACUAGGCAAAGCUAGACAGUCAUUCUUCUCAAACCUUAUAAACAGUAACUUAAACAACACUCGCACUCUUUUUGCUACUGUUGAGAGACUGACAAACCCCCCAAAUCAGAUUGCCAGUGAAAUGCUCUCCGACAGCAAAUGCAAUGAGUUUGCUUCCUUCUUUUCUGAGAAGAUCAAUAAUAUCAGGAAGGCGAUUAGCACAUCCCCAAGUUAUGCAGAGGUUAGACAUAUUCGACCACAAUAUCAAAAAGAAGAUACUAUGUCUGCUUUUGAAGAAAUUGAUAGCAAAAUUUUGGAAGAAAUAGUACAGCACCUUAAAUCGUCAACAUGCUAUCUUGACACACUUCCCACA
Molecule: long non-coding RNA, 1406 nt
Filed under: Sinocyclocheilus grahami
Lineage: Eukaryota; Metazoa; Chordata; Actinopteri; Cypriniformes; Cyprinidae
Description: lncRNA (ENSSGRG00000011589.1)
Source: RNAcentral